This 432-nucleotide ribosomal RNA is filed under the name uncultured bacterium. RNAcentral's name for it is "partial 16S ribosomal RNA". It matches the Rfam family "Bacterial small subunit ribosomal RNA", at positions 29 to 506 of the family's 1533-position model. The record is from RNAcentral.
AGCGAACGCUGGCGGCAGGCUUAACACAUGCAAGUCGAGCGGGCCCUUCGGGGUCAGCGGCGGACGGGUGAGUAACGCGUGGGAACGUGCCUUCUGGUUCGGAAUAACUCAGGGAAACUUGAGCUAAUACCGGAUACGCCCUUUUGGGGAAAGGUUUACUGCCGGAAGAUCGGCCCGCGUCUGAUUAGCUAGUUGGUGGGGUAACGGCCUACCAAGGCGACGAUCAGUAGCUGGUCUGAGAGGAUGAUCAGCCACACUGGGACUGAGACACGGCCCAGACUCCUACGGGAGGCAGCAGUGGGGAAUAUUGGACAAUGGGCGCAAGCCUGAUCCAGCCAUGCCGCGUGAGUGAUGAAGGCCUUAGGGUUGUAAAGCUCUUUUAUCCGGGACGAUAAUGACGGUACCGGAGGAAUAAGCCCCGGCUAACUUCGU